UUCCUUUAUUUAAAGUUUUAUUCUUGCUUAAUUAUUCACUUUAUCUUUGUAUUAUAUGCUAGUUUUGUUGACUAAAUGUUUCGUUAUUGCAGUAAUUUGACUUAAUUAUCAAGUUAAUUUGGAAUUAGUAAUUGAUUUAGUUUUGGCCUAAUUCGUGCCAGCAGCCGCGGUUAUACGAUUGAUGCAAGUGAAUAUUUUUGGUUUAACAGUUAAUUGUUGUUUGGGAUUGAAAAUUUUGUUUUUAAGGUGAAAUUUUAAAUUUAUUUUAUGUCCUUAUUUUGAUUCUGUGAAACUUAAAUUGUAAACUAGGAUUAGAUACCCUAUUAUUUAUAGUGUUAAAAUUUUACCUGGGUAGUAUUAGUUAAGGUCUUUAAACCCAAAGAAUUUGGCGGCAUUUCAUUCUAUUCAGAGGAACCUACCCUGUAAUUGAUAGUACACGAUUAGUAAUACUUGGUUUAUUUGUUUGUAUAUCUCCGUUAUCAGAAAAUCUUUUUAGAGACAUAAUUUUCAGGAUUCUUUAUUAAGAAAAAUUUCAGGUCAAGGUGCAGCUUAUAACUAGGAAGAGGUGGGUUACAAUAAGUUUUUGCUUAUUACGGUUUCUUUAUAAAAAUAUGGAAUAAAGGUGGAUUUGAUAGUAAUUUGAUUAAUUUAAUUUAUUUGAUAUUAGCUCUGAAGUGUGCACACAUCGCCCGUCGCUCUCAUUAUUUAAAUCCUUUAAUUUUAUUUGAUUGGAUUUUUAUUUAGAUGAGAUAAGUCGUAACAUAGUAGGUGUACUGGAAAGUGUACCUGGGAAGAAUGAU
RNAcentral lists this non-coding RNA (800 nucleotides) under Psedna nana. RNAcentral describes it as "12S ribosomal RNA". The stretch from base 350 to 789 matches the Rfam family "Microsporidia small subunit ribosomal RNA", at positions 752 to 1303 of the family's 1311-position model. Lineage: Eukaryota; Metazoa; Arthropoda; Insecta; Orthoptera; Pyrgomorphidae. The record is from RNAcentral.